UCUAUAUUAGUAUAAAAAGUACAUAUAAUUUCCAAUUAUAAAGUUAGAAUUUUUAAUAUAG
This 61-nucleotide transfer RNA is filed under the name Ixodes fecialis. RNAcentral describes it as "tRNA-Gly". Lineage: Eukaryota; Metazoa; Arthropoda; Arachnida; Ixodida; Ixodidae. The record is from RNAcentral.